This is a long non-coding RNA of Anolis carolinensis (green anole), 2693 nucleotides long. RefSeq lists it as uncharacterized. The record is from RefSeq and is a predicted model, not a curated record. The transcript is spliced from 2 exons. Lineage: Eukaryota; Metazoa; Chordata; Lepidosauria; Squamata; Anolidae.
AACCACAGGUCUAUAUGCUUGUUCCCACACAUUCCUAAGGAACUGAGUGAGCGAUAAGCCUUACUGCUACCUCAUGCAAUAUUCAGGUGUGAGCUCAUAUGACAAACUUCUUUUAUUUCUGUAGCAACAGAAGCUGGCAUCUGAGAUAUUGGUUUUCAACACCACUAGCUGUGAGUUGGAACAUGCAUCUACUUUGCUGAAUUACUAGUAAAUUAAGGUCAGGCUCCAGAGAGAAGAAAGCUCUCUCAGUGGGACAACAGUGGUGGAUAUGUUGUGUACCAAUUGCAUCUCCCACUUACUGCUUUUUCCAGAGAAAGAUAGACGGGAAAUAUGAAAAACCCAUCUUAUGCAGGUUAGAUGAAUUGAUGCUUAGAUUCCAUUAAUUCCCAUGAUAUUUGCUAUUGAUACUUUUCUCCUUUCUCCCUUCUUCAGAUCUCAUUUUUUGGAGUAUUGUCCACCCGGUCCCUUCUGUGGAAAGAUUCAGAAGAUGCUAACAAACUCAGAAGAUUUGUCCAUGAAAUGAUGAAUGCAAAUUUCAUAUGCUCAACUUCAUAUGUUGACUGCUAUGGUCACCUUAGUGGAUGAUCUCUGUCUCAACACUGACAGGGGGAAUGUGUCCCUGUUGGUGCUUCUAGACCUCUCAGCAGCCUUUGAUAUCAUCGACCAUGAUUUCCUUCUGGAAUGCCUGGAGGGACUGGGAAUUGGAGGCACUGUGCUGCAGUGGUUCCGGUCGUACCUCUCAGGUAGGUUUCAGAUGGUGGUGCUUGGGGAUAGCUGCUCCUCAAAAAAGGAGCUGUUAUGUGGCUUUUCACAAGGUGCCAUUCUAUCCCCAAUGCUUUUUAAUAUUUACAUGAAGCCGCUGGGAGAGAUCAUCCAUAGGCAUGGGGCAGGGUGUUAUCAGUAUGCUGAUGACACCCAAAUAUAUUUCUCCAUGUCUUCAAAAACAGAUAGUGUGCCUCUUCCUAAUGAAUGUCUCGCGGAGGUAAUGGGCUGGAUGAGGAAAAACAAAUAAAAACUGAAUACAAACAAAACAGAGGUGCUUGCCAUCAAAAGUCCUAAUCUGGGGAUGGAUGUGUGUCAACCAGUUCUGGAUGGGGUUACAGUCUUCCUGAAAGACUGUGUUUGUAGCUUGGGAGUGCUCCUGGAUCUAUCUCUCUGAAUGUCAGCCCCGGUAGAUGCGAUGGUCAGAACUACUUACAAUCAGCUUCGGUUGAUACACCAGCUGCACCCCUUCUAGAUUUGGAGGACCUUUAGAUGGUAGUGCACAUGCUGGUAACCCCAAAGUUGGACUUCUGCAAUGUGCUUUACAUUGGGAUACCUUUGUACCAAGUUCUGAAACUCCAGUUAGUUCAAAAUACAGCAGCCAGAUUGGUUACAGGAAUCAUCUAGGAAUGAACAUAUUCCACUUAUUCUAAAGUUACUCCACUGGCUGCCGAUUAGUUUCUGGGCAAAGUAUAAGGUGGGGAUAUUGACCUUUAAAGCCCUACGUGGUUUGGGUCUAUGUUACCUAUAGGAUUGUCUUUUCCCGAAUGAUCCGCCCCAUACACUGAGGUCUUCUAUGGGGUGUCUGCUCCAGCCUGCCUGAACCUGAUUGACAACUGCCAUCCAGAGGAUCUUUUCAUCGGCUGCCCCACAAUUGUGGAAUGACCUGCCAGUAGAGCUCCAACAGCUACAUCAGCUGUCACAAUUUAAGACACAAGUGAAGACCUAUCUCUUCUGGCAGGCCUACCCAAACAGUUUAAUGACGAAUUUUAAACUUCCUUAUCUUCAUCAUCAUCAUAAUCAUCCUCCUCCUCCUCCUCCUCCCUUGGAUCAUGGAAAAUCAGGAGACAUUCAAUUCUAUCUCAAUAGGAUUCCUUCCAUCCCGAAUGUUGUGGUUUCUACAAUGUUCUAUGAUUACUGCAAGUUUACCACUUAUGUCUAGCAUUUUGCAUUCAAUAUACCCUAAGACUAUGAUUCUGGAAACCAGAUUUCAAAUCCCUGCUCAGCUAUAUAUGAUUUUUCACCUUUUACAAAGACCUUUUCCAUGUUUGGGCAGAUUCAAAGCAUCAGAAGAUCAAAACCAAACCAGGAACAGUUAUAAAUUCCUAAAUUCUAUCAUAUUUAACCUUUUAAUAAAUUGUAUCUAUUUUCAUGAUUUUCUGUAUAACGUUUAUAUAACUGUCAAUCUAGAUAAACCUAAACUUGUUUGUCUAGCUACAUGGUUCGCUUGAAGUAGAGAUUGCUGCCUAUAAAAACAGAGGCUUAGAGUAUGGGCAUAUGUUAAACUUCUUUAUUGUCAGCCAAGUUUUUGAUUUCUCAAGAUAGAUUAGCAUUUUUGUUCCUUGGGUCUUGCACUUUUGUUUUCGAAAGCUCCUAUCUUUGUUUGACACAGAACUAAACAUUUGAGGCUCAUCACCAUAUAUUUACCAUUUGUUUUUCUCAGGCUGUACCUUCCCAGGGGGUGUCUCUGCAGCUGAUUGACCCUUCACUCUGACCAAUCCCUAGCUGCUAUAUCCGAACCAAUUCUGAUACUGAUCCUAGCCAGCCUCUUUUCUAGCUAAUCAAGGGAGGGGGAGGGAAGCCUGAAUAGCUAUCAGAACUGUAUAAGGUGCCUUGUAUUUCUCUAUGGUUAUGCUUGUACAUUUUGAAGCAAAUUGCUGUACUUGACCCCUUUUGGCCAAAUUGAAUAAACUUCUAUGGCUUGUCUACAA